This 74-nucleotide transfer RNA is filed under the name Rasbora einthovenii (brilliant rasbora). RNAcentral describes it as "tRNA-Leu". It matches the Rfam family "tRNA". From Rfam's summary of the family: Transfer RNA (tRNA) molecules are approximately 80 nucleotides in length. Their secondary structure includes four short double-helical elements and three loops (D, anti-codon, and T loops). RNAcentral also lists the same sequence under 1 other name. The record is from RNAcentral. Lineage: Eukaryota; Metazoa; Chordata; Actinopteri; Cypriniformes; Danionidae.
GCUAGGGUGGCAGAGCUUGGUAAUUGCAAAAGGCCUAAGCCCUUUUAGCAGAGGUUCAAAUCCUCUCCCUAGCU